UUCCUACGGGAGGCAGCAGUGGGGAAUCUUGCACAAUGGGCGAAAGCCUGAUGCAGCAACGCCGCGUGAGCGAAGAAGGCCUUUGGGUCGUAAAGCUCUGUCCUAAGGGAAGAAGGAAGUGACGGUACCUUAGGAGGAAGCCCCGGCUAACUACGUGCCAGCAGCCGCGGUAAUACGUAGGGGGCAAGCGUUAUCCGGAAUUAUUGGGCGUAAAGAGUACGUAGGCGGUUCUUUAAGCGUAGGGUCUAAGGCGAUGGCUUAACCAUCGUUCGCCCUGUGAACUGGAGGACUUGAGUAUCGGAGAG
RNAcentral lists this ribosomal RNA (305 nucleotides) under uncultured bacterium. Its description in RNAcentral is "bacterial SSU rRNA". It matches the Rfam family "Bacterial small subunit ribosomal RNA", at positions 336 to 656 of the family's 1533-position model. The record is from RNAcentral.